CUCUGACUAUAGAACUGUAAAAAAAAAAAAAAAAAAAAAAAAUCAUUGGUUAAACCAUUAAGUUUGUGGUAAUUUGUUAUGUCAAUAGUAUAAAACUAAUACAGAUGUAAUUCCAAACUGUGAAUUUACCACUUAAAACAAUAGCAUGAAGGUCAGUAUGGCUGAGGCACAGAGUAUUUAAGCUAGAAUGGUAGGCAAAAUGAUGAAGCUACCAAGAAGAUUGGGCCAGAUUAUGCAAAUCUUGUCAUCUAAUAGGAUUCUCAGCUCUAUGCAAUGGGGCCAAUUAUAGCUACAUUAACUAAAAAGAAGCAUUUUGGAAAAUGAGUAGAAACCAAAGCCGUUCUAGAAGGCCAAAACCAGUAAUUACCCAGAACAAUGCUUCCACCACUACUUUGCAAACUGCUGAGUCCACAAAUGGACAGAUUUUAACUAGCACUUUGAUUUUGCCUCAGCUGCUACAAAUUGAAUCCCAGACAUAAAUGUUCUGAAAAGCAAGUCCAUAUCAAGUGCACAUAUUCUUUCUAUAAGAGAGUUGAUGGAGUUGCUCUGAUUUCUACAAUGAAAGACAGGGAAUUCCCUGUUAUAAACUUUAUACUUAAGGGAGAGAAGGAAAAUAGGAAGGGGAGGAACUGUCACUAAAAAUGGCAAAUGAUCAAGUUUUGCAUGUGUAACAAGACUAUUGGCAAGCAUUAAUUAUAAAAGACCAAGGCUAAUCUACCAGACAUAUAAGGUAACUUAGGAAUGCAUAUUAGCAGAUCAUAUCCAACUGCCAAUAUGUUCUGACAAAUAAACCAUAGAAAGUAGAAUGCAUUAAAAAAACCUGUCAAUCCUGAAGAACAAUCAAAUUUUUUUCUGUUUGGUAAAAACUGUAAGUUCUCACACUGUGUGUCCAGCAGCUUCCACAGUGAAUGGGGCACGUAAAUAUCCACCUGAACAUAACCAGUGACUCAGCACAAGAAUUCACAAGUGUGAGAAACAAACCAAGCACCACAUGUGCCUCUCACUGUACACUAAAAUAAGCAUCACUAAACAGUCUGGGUGGUCUGGAAAUCUGGACACAAAGAAACUUCUGUAUCAUCCCUCUGUUGAAAAAUAGAGGGGUUCCUUUAACUAGUGACAUCUAAAAGCUAUCAUUUCCUUUUCAUGUACUGCUUUCAGGUACUUUAUUAAUUGCUUGAUGUAUUGUCUUCACAAGAGUUCUAUGAGUGGGUAUUAUUUCACCCCUUUUACAAAUAGAGAUUCUGAAACAGGGCUUGAGAAUUUGCUUAAGUCAUAAAGAUAGUAAGGGAAAAGGGACAGGCCAAGACUCAAUAUUGGUUGUAGUAGGAAAGAAAUAGACAAUGUCCAAAAGAAGUAUUUACACACAAACACACACAUACACACUCCUCCAUUAAGAAGGAAGAACACUGGAAAAAUUAUGAAAAGCAUCACUUUCAUACUCUAGAAAUUAACAAAACAUUACAAUAAUUCCAGGACCACUCAUUCAAGACAAAUGGCUGAAUAUCAGCAAAACCAGUGUUCUUUGUGGUAUGUGACUUGUCCCAACAAAUGGAUCCUCCAUAAGAUUAAUAUUUGACAAUAAGAAAACAGAAAAUUUCAACACUAUAAACCAACUAGAAAUAAGACAUCUACUCAAGAGCAUCAGAAUACACAUUCUUUUCAGUUAUACAUGGAACGUUCUCUAGGAUAGACCCUAUGCUAGUCCAUAAAAUAAGACUCAAGAAAUUUCAAAAGAUUGAAAUCAUAUAAAAUACCUUUCCUGCCAACAGUAUAAUUAUAAGUUAAUAACAAAGGAAAUUGCGGAAUUCACAAAUAUUGGAAGUUAUCACACUUAAAGAUAACCAAUAGGUCAAAGAAGAUAUCACAAGGAAAAUUAGAUAAUAUUUUGCUAUGAAUAAAAACAAAAAUACAUUAAAACUUAUGGCAUCUGAAAUCCCUUUCAUGAAGACGGUCCCAAAGGCAAAUAAGGAAGUCCCUGCCCCACCCAAAGCCAGAGCAAAGGCUUUGAAGGCCAACAAAGCAGUGCUAAAAGGAGCCCACAGUCACACGCCAAAAAAGAUCCAUGCAUCAUCUACCUGCCUAUAGUCCAAGACACUGCAUCCCUGAAGGCAGCCCAAAUAUCCUCAAAAGAGCACCCCCAGGAGAAACAAGCUUGACCAUUCUGCUAUCAUCAAGAUCCCCCUGACUCCCAAGUUAGUUGUGAAGAAAACAAAAGACAAUACACGUGUGUUCAUUGUGGAUGUCAUGGCCAACAAGCACCAAUGAGACUGUGAAGAAGCUCUAUGACAUUGACAGAAGAUGGCAGUGUAGGAGGAUGCUGGGCUCACCUUGUCCUGCUGAUCACUUAGAUUCCACCCACAUCAGCCUAAAUAACCCACAAAACUGCCGGAAGACUAGCAGAACGGACACUCCAGAGCCAAGCAUAGAUAAGAGACUCACGGAAGAGGGUAAGAAGGGUGGAGAGCUGGUGUGUGUUACAUGGACUGGUGGGAGGCAGCUGGGAAGUGGAGGGGCAGUCCACCAGGCAAGGCAGAGCCCCUGAAGUCUGGCUUGCAAAAGCGGAGGGACCGGACUGCAUGAGUUCUGACAGCCAGCAGGAGUUAACAUCUGGAAUGUUAAAAGUCAACAGCUCUGCUCUCAGAGAGCAGGGAGGGUGAGAGGAGGGUGAGAGGACGCCAGGAGGGAGAGUUCUUGAGCCCCGGAAAGACGGAGCUUGGGGGGCAGGAGGAGGCGAAAGGCACUGGCAAGCACCAUUUACCUCUCCCAUUCCCCAGCCAAAAUUCCAAAGGGAACCAGUUGCCAAAACUGAGCUUGCUUGCACCACACAAGUGCCCAAUGCUGUGCUUCUGGGGAUCAAUCCCUCCAGCCUGCCUCCCUCCUGGUGCUGCAGGGCUCCUCCUGUGGGGGACCACUGAUAGCAAAGCUAGGUAAGCCUGCCCCUCCUGCCCAUGUGCAUCUUGCAGAUCCACCCGGGCUAAUACGCCCUUGGCCAGAUCCCAUCAAAGCAGACCAUAAACCUGGCAGUGUGCAAGCAGCCCACACAGGGGCCACACCACUCCACAGUGAGUCCUGCCCCUGGGAGGGGGCAGAUAAGGUACACACCACUCUCACUGUGGCCCCAGCAGUGGGCUGGGAACAGACAUCGGGUCUGACUGCAGCCCCGCCCACCACCACCACAAGUUUCUCCGGACAGCACAGGGGAAUUGCCCUGCAGUUUGGAGCCACCACAGGGACUACCCCAAAUGAUGAAACAGGAGAAUUCUCUUCAAAAAAACUCCAGGAAGUAGCGACAGCUAACAAAUUGAUCAAAACCGAUUUAAGCAAUAUAAUGGAACAAGAAUUUAGAAUAAUAGUCAUAAAAUUAAUCUCUUGCCUUGAAAAAAGCAUAGAGGACAGCAGAGAAUCUAUUGCUACAGAGAUCAAGAGACUAAAAAAUAGUCAUGAGGAAUUAAAAAAUGCUAUAAAUGAGGUGCAAAAUAAAAUGGAGGUGGCCAUAGCAUGGAUUGCAGAGGCAGAGGAGAGAAUAGGUGAAUUAGAAGUUAAAAUUAUGGAAAAAGAGGAAGCUGAGAAAAAGAGAGAUAAAAAAAUCCAGGAGUAUGAGGGGAGAAUUAGAGAAAUAAGUGAAACAAUCAAACAGAACAAUAUCCUUACCAUAGGAAUUCCAGAAGAAGAAGAGAGAGAGAAAGGGGCUGAAGGUGUACUUGAACAAAUCAUAGCUGAGAACUUCCCUUAUCUGGGAAAGGAAACAGGCACUGAAAUCCAAGAGGCACAGAGAACUCCCUUCAUACGUAACUUGAAUCGGUCUUCUGCACGACAUAUCAUAGUGAAACUGGCAAAAUACAAGGAUGAAGAGAGAAUUCUGAAAGCAGCUAGGGAUAAACAGGACCUAACUUACAAAGGUAGACACAUAAGGGUAGUAGCAGACCUAUCUACUGGCUCUGGCAGGGCAGAAAGGAAUGGCAAGAAAUCUUCAAUGUGAUGAACAGAAAAAAUAUGCAGCCAAGAACCCUUUAUCCAGCAAGUCUGUCAUUCAGAAUAGAAGGAGAGNCUCUGGAAAACAGUGUGGAGGUUCCUCAAAAAAUUAAAAAUAGAUCUACCCUAUGACCCAGCAAUAGCACUGCUAGGAAUUUACCCAAGGGAUACAGGAGUGCUGAUGCAUAGGGGCACUUGUACCCCAAUGUUUAUAGCAGCACUUUCAACAAUAGCCAAAUUAUGGAAAGAACCUAAGUGUUCAUCAACUGACAAAUGGAUAAAGAAGUUGUAGUUUAUAUCUACAAUGGAAUACUACUUGGCCAUAAGAAAGAAUGAAAUAUGGCCUUUUGUAGCAACGUGGAUGGAACUGGAGAGUGUUAUGCUAAGUGAAAUAAGUCAUACAGAGAAAGACAGAUACUGUAUGUUUUCACUCUUAUGUGGAUCCUGAGAAACUUAACAGAAGACCGUGGGGGAGGGGAAGGGGAAAAAAAUGUUACAGAGAGGGAAGGAGGCAAACCAUAAGAGACUCUUAAAAACUGAGAAUAAACUGAGGGUUGAUGGGUGGUGGGAGGAAGGGGAAAGUGGGUGAUGGGCAUUGAGGAGGGCACCUGUUGGGAUGAGCACUGGGUGUUAUAUGGAAACCAAUUUGACAAUAAAUUUCAUAUUAAAAAAAAUAACAAAGAAGCUCUAUAACAUUGUCAAGGACAAAGUCAACACCCUAAUCAGGCCCAAUGUUGAGAAGGCACAUGUUUCACUGGCUCCUCACCAUGAUGCAUCAGAUCUUGCCAACAAAAUCAGGAUCAUCUAAACUGUGUCCAGCUAGCUAAAUCUAAAUACAAAAUUUUUCACCACAAAACAACAACAGUAAUAAAACAUGUUUUUGGGGUUUUUUUUUUUUUACAUCAACUGAAGUAUCUCCUGAAGGGAAAUUAUAGCUAUAAAUCUCUGCCUUAAAAGAGAGAAAAUAUCUCAAAUUGUUAACUUAAACUUCUAUCUUAAGAACUAAAAAAGAAAAGCAAGCUAAACCUUUAUCAAACAAAACAAAUAAUAAAGAUCAGAGUGCAAACACAGGAAAUAGAGGUAGAAAAAUAAUGAAGAGAUUCAAUGAAGACAAAAGUUUGGCUUUUUCUUUAAAAGAUCACCAAAAUUAGUAAGGUUUCAGAUUGACCAAGAAAUUUUUUCAAAGGGAAAGAACGAGAGAGAAAGAGGGGGUGGGGGAAGGAUGGAGGCAGGGAGGAGAUCAAUUUAUUAAAUUAGAAACGAAAGAGAGGGCAUCAUCACCAAUCUCAAAGAUUUAAAAACUAUAAUAAAAUAACAUGAAAAAAUAUAUGCCAACAAAUUCGAUAAUCUAUAUCAAAUGUACAAAUUUCUAGAAACACAAAAAUUACCCAGAUUCAGAAAUACAUAGAAAAAUGAAUAGACCUAUAGCAUUUAAAGAAAUUAAAUAAUUGUAAAUAUGGCAGGCAGAAUUAUUGUCCCUCCAAAAUUCGCAUGUCUUAAACCCUGCAGCCUGUAAAUAUGUUGUCUUACAUGGAAAAAAGAGACUCUGCAUGUAUGAUUAAGUUAAGGAACUUGAGAUGGGAAGAUUAUCUCACCAAUCAGUAGUUCUAAUCUAGUUAUGUAGGUCCUUAUAUGCGAAGAACCAUUUCUGACUGGAGUUAGACCAAGAUAUGAAAAAUGGAAAAAUGAUCAGAGAGGUACAAUUUUGCUUGUUUUGAAGAUGGAUGAAGAGGGCCACGAGCCAAGGAACGCAGGUGCCCUCUAGAAAUGGGAAAAGACUAGGAAAUUAAUUCUGAAUUCCCAGAACCUCCAGUGUGGUAGAGGGGAAGCAGCACUGCCAACACCUUGGUUGUAGCUCUGCAAAACCUGUGCUGGAUUUCUAAUAUACUGUAAGAUAUUCUGUAGACUGUAAGUCUAUUUCUAAUAGACUGUAAGAUAACAAAGUUGUGAUUUUGUAGCCACUAAAUAUGUGAUCACAGCAGCAAAAGAACAGUAAAAGAGAAACUUCCCACAAUAAAAUCCAACAUCCAGAUGGCUUCACAAGUGGAUUCUAUCAAAAAUUUAGAAAACAAUUAAUACCGGUCCUACCUAAGUCUUCCAAAAAUUAGAAAAGGUUAACAUUUCCUAACUUAUUUUGUAGUUAGUGUUACAAUGAUAUCAGAACUAGACAAAGUGGUCAUAGGGAAACUACAGACCAAUAUUCCUUACGAAUAUAAAUGCAAAAAGGCUCAACAAAAUAAUAGCAAACUCAAUCCAGCAACAUAUUAAAAAGAUUAUUUACCAUGACCAAUGUUUUUCCUGGAAUGUAAGAUUGGUUUAAUAUGUGACUAUCAGUGUAAUCACCAAAUUAAUAGAAUAAAGGACAAUAUAGCAGAAAAAGCAUUUGACAAAAUCUAACACCCUUUUAUUGUAAAACGCUUAAAAACAUGUGAGAGUAAAAGAAAUUCCUCACCCUAAUUAUUAUCUAUGAAAAAUCGAUAGCUAACAUUAUAUUUAACGGUGAAAAGGUGAGUUAUUUCUUUUUACAGUUAGGAAGAAGGCAACAUAUCCACUCUCACCUGGAGGUUCCAGACACAGCAGUUAGGCAAAAGAGAAAUAAAAGGUAUUCAGAUUCAAGCGUAGGAAGAAAAACUAUCUGUAUUCACAGAUGACAUGAUGUUGUUCAUAGAAAAUCUUGAAGAAUGGGGGCACUGGGGUGGCUUAGUCAGUUGAGCGCCAACUCUUGAUUUCAGCUCAGUCAUGAUCCCAGGCUCCUGGAAUCCAGGCCCAUGUCAAGCUCUGCAUUGGCGUGGAGAGUAUGUAAGAUUCUCUCUCUCUCCCUCUGUCCCUCUCUCCAUUCACGAUCUCUCUCUAAAGUAAAUAAGAAGAAAAGAAGAAGAAGAGGAAGAAGGAGGAAGGAAGGAACGAAUAAAGGAACGAAGGAAAGAAGGAAAGAAGAUAUUUGUAUCUUGAAGAACAAAAAAAUUAAAAAUAUUCCCAGAAUUAAUUAAUGAAUUUAGCAAAGUUGCAGGAUAUGAGAUUCAUAUACAAUAAUCUAUUUCUGUGCUCUAACAAUGAAUAAGAAAUGCAGUUAAGAAAACAAUUCCAUUCACAUGAGCAGCAAAACAAUACUUAAAAUUAAAUUUAAUUAAAGAUGUAUAAGAUGUAUUACCAAUAAGUAAUUAAAUGUAAUUAAAUAAAUAUGUAAUUAAAUAGGACCUAAAUACGUUGAAAACCACUCUAUGUUCAGACGGAUUGGAAGACUUAAUAUUGUUAAGAUGGAAUAUAUUUUUCAUUUUACACAAUUCCAUUCAAAUCAAGUUGAUAACAGAAGAAAUUGCUUUUUUUUUUUUAUUUAACAAAAAUACCUUCCAAAAUUGACUCUGGUAAAGACAAAAAGUUUGAACUGAACAAAGACAACAGAAAAAACAGAAAGUAGUGAAAAAGCUCCCCCAGGUAAAUGCAUCAGGCUCAAGUGGCUUUAUAGUAGCUUAUUGUUAAGAAAUGCUUUUAUGUCAGAUGCUAAUUAUUCUAGAUCAUAGAAAAAGUAUUUAAAUUUCCUUUUUGUGAUGAAUGUAACAUAAUUCUCAAACUCUGACAAUGAAACGUAUAGCAAUGCUUACUGUACCAAUAUUAUACAUGCACACAUGUGCACACACCCACACACCUUAUCGUGACUUCUAGCAUCUUAAUGAAAAAGUCUGAAGUCAGGAAAAAAGAAAGGCUGCCCAAUAUCUCCGCUAAUCUUAAACAUUGUGUUACAGGUAUCCACAAGUGCAAUUAGAGAAAAGAAAGGAUGAGAGACUUUACAAUUGCAAUGCAGAAAGCAAAAUAAUAAUAUUUUGCAACAAUAAGAUACUUCAACCCUACAGUUGUAUACUUUCAUUUUACUACAAAUAGUUGGAUCAAUUAACAUGGCAAGCUAUAAAUCAAUAUGCAAAACUCAAAAAGCUUCAUACAUAUAAAAAACAUUAGAAGAUAUCACAGGGGACUCCUUUAUAAUAGUGAAAUAAGUGAAUAAAUUGGUACCUCAUUUUCCGAGGUAGUAAGAAAACAUCAUCAAGAUACUAUUAUGGGCUGAAGUGUGUCCCCUAAAAAGUCCUAACACUUGGAACCUGUGAAUGAAUGUGACCUGAUUUGGAAAUAGAGUCUCUGGAGAUGCAGUGUUUAGGGAGGGUUUCUAAUCCAAUGACUGGAGUCUGGAGAGACAGGGACACACAGAAAGACAGCCAAACGAUGACAGGUAGAGAUUGGAGUGAUGAGUCUACAAAACCAAGGAAUAUGAAGGAUUGCAAAGUUUCUGGCAAACACCAAAAACUAGUUAGAGACAAGGAAGGAUCUUCCCAUAGAGACUUUAAAGCAAAUAUAGACCUACCUACACCUUGAUUUUUGGAUUUCCACUUCCAGAACUAUGACAUAAUAAGUAAGUCAUCCAUCUAUGGAACUUUGGUAUGACAAUCUUUGGAAGUUAAGAAAGAUACUAGUAUUUCCUGUUAAUGUAAAAAUUAAUGUGAUUCAUAGUUUUUUUGAAAGAAAAAUUUUUAAAAAGAAAGAAAAAUAAGCUAGGAUAGCCUGAAACCCUUCAAAAAACUAAAAAAUGAUGGCAGGGUAGCUUUAUCAAACAUUAAACGAAAUUCUCGAUAAUUAAAACACUGUGUACUGGUACUCGAAUAUAAGAAAGGAACCAUAGAACAGAAUAGAAAAUGCCAGAAAUAAACCCAAUUGCAUAUGAAAAUUUCACAUGUGAUAAGGGUGGUUUCUUUAAUUAUCAAGGAAAAGACUUUUUUUUAAUAAAUGGAUUGUAAAUAACCAAAAAGAAAACGCUGGAUCUAUUUCUCAUCUCAUACCCCAGGAUACAUUCCAAAUGAUUCAUAUAUUUAACCUUAAAAUAAAUAACCAUACAAAUACUAAAAGAAUAUGUAAAUGAAUUUCUCUACAAACUUGAAUGGCAAAAUUCUCUUAAUUCUAUUUCUUUAAUAUCUAGAAGCAAUAAGGGAAAUAAAAGUUAAAUUUAACUACAUAAAAAUAAAAAAAAAUGUUUACUUGUCAAAAAAAUCCCGUGAGCAAAGUAUAUAUAUAUAACAAAUUAAUGGGAAAUAUUGCACCUUAAAUUAUAGAAAAAAAAUUAACACUUCUAAUUACAUAAAGAACUAGAAAAAAAAUCGGUAAGAAUCAAUAACCUGGUAUAAAAAUGAUCGAGAUAUAAAAUAUAUAGCUUUCAAUAAAAUAAAAUGUCAAUAGCUCUUAAUCAUAUUAAAAGAUGAUCAACCUUGCUCACUAUAAGAGAAAUGUAUAAAAUUGCCAUGAAAUAUAAACUGUUAGAUAUUCAAACACCCAAAAAUUUGACAGCAUGCAGUAUGGCUGAGGAGUAAGAGGCAUUCUCAAAGAUCACCAGUGACAAUCUAAAAUUGUGCAACCUCCCAUUCAUACUUCCAGACUCAUCUUCCUUUACCCUCCUUGCUGAACCCUGAGGAUAAUUUAGGGAAUAAAUGCCUAUUACGUGCUUCUACUUAAACUCCUUCCAAUGUUUUAAUGUACUCAUAAUGUCUUGUUAAUAUGUACAUCCACAAGAUAGUUCCUGUCUACGAGUGCAUUUUAUACCCCAUUUUGUGUUAAUAUACAGGGAGUUUAUCUAUUCUUUCCCACUAUAUGAGACCCAGAAUCAUUAUCUUGAUACGUCUUAGUGGUUACUCUAAAAAUACACAUUUAACUUGGCUCACAGAUUAUUUAAAAAGUAUAAACUCCUAUUCCAACCUUUACCUUCUGCCUUAGACAUUUGAACAAAUUAUAAAAGAAUAAGAAGGGAGAAUAUGAUUUGAAUUCUCAAACCAAUGGUCUACGGCAGCCAUUAGUAUUGGUACAAAUGUAACAAAAAUUUUUCAUGGACCUGUUGAACAGAAAUCACAAAUAAAUGUGUUCUUGCCUUUGUCAUAAGCCAGUUUUGCAGGAUUUCAAUAUCUUAACUGGCAUCACUUUCCUGCUCUCAAUGAAGUGCUGAGAAUUUGGUAUUUCCCCCAACUUCCUCCCUCAUUCUACUAAAUCCAUGUAAAGCCUCCAUUCAAUCCUUCCAUCUGGUAGGAUGGUCUGAGCUAAAAUAUUUUUUAAUUUUUUUAAUGUUUUAUUUAUUUUUGAGAGAGAGCGAGGACACACGGGGGAGGGGCAGAGAAAGAGGGACACAGAAUCCAAAGCAGGCUCCAGGCUCUAUGCUGUCAGCAAGAGCCUGAUGCAGGGCUUGAACCCACGAAACAAGAGAUCAUGACCUGAGUCAAAGUUGAAUGCUUAACCAACUAAGCUACCCAGGCACCCCUGAGCUAAAAUCUUUUCUGAGAUCUUUAGAAAAAACAAAUAAACAAACAAACAUGCUACUCUCCCAAAAAAGUUGACCAAUUCAGGAGCUAUAUUACAUUUUUAUUUGAGAAAAUUUUUCUUUGAUGUGCUCACAGAAUCUAAUACUGUGCCAGUACGCAGUGUUCACUCAAAAAUACAAAUAUUGGGGUGCCUGGGUGGCUCAGUCAAUUGAGCGUCUGACUUUGGCUCAGGUCAUGAUCUUUGAGUUCGUGAGUUUGAACCCUGCAUCGGGUUGCUGCUGUCAGCACAGAGCCCACUUCGGAUCCUGUGUUCCCCUGUUUCUCUGCCCCUCCCUUGCUAGUGCUCUCUCUCAAAAAUAAACAAACAUUUAAAAAAAUACAAAUGGCAUACAAAUUACUCAAUGGGAUAAAUCUAAAGUAUGUGGUAUUUCAGUAUUGCUAUGAUCUCAAAUGUGUUCUGUGUUGAGGUGGCCAGAGGCCAUCACUGAUACAGAGGGGGAAACAUCAGUUUAAAAAUGAAGUAUUUACAUUUUAAUGUGUUCCUGACAUUAAAUUUAAGAGAAAUCACAAAUGGAUUCAGGAUUUUUCUUUAAUCAAUUUUAAAAAAUAACAUUUCAUCCCUUUCCACAUAGACAUACACACACACGAUAUAGGCUAAUAAGCUCAUGUAUAUAAACAACUCUAGCAGGAAGUAAAGCAAAUCACGUUCCACUGAAGAAUAUCCCCACUAAUUACUAUUUGAAGGGACUUCUGUAUAAAAGCUAGAUUUCUAGUAUGAGUCAAUUUUGUCUGUAAGGACUCUGUAUUUUAUUUUUACAGUGUUGUUGAAUGUCUACUCAAUUUAUUGUAUUAAGAUCUCAGUCACAAAGGAAAGAAAUUAAUAUAGUAGCAUAUGGGAAACUUUGGGUCCAAGCAUCUUGAAAGUCAAGAAUUUGGUUAUUCUUCAGGAUUUGGCAUUAAAAGGUAUUCUCCACUCCCCUGAACAUGGAAAACAAUUUUUUAUUGGCUUGAAACAGUGUGGCUGAAAUAUGUCACCAACUAGCCUUACUGCACAACAAUUUUCUACAUACACACUCUUCCACACCAUUACUUUUUUAUCUGCCCAACUUAUCAAUGUAAAGAAAUUUCCUAAUUCAAAUAUAACAAUUGUUAUCACUGUCAUAAUCGUUAUUUCCUCAUGACACUUCACAUUGUUCCAGUUUAAUUUUCUUAUUGGAAAGAUGAACACUCACAAUUGCAUCAUUAAUAAACACUAGUACAUCUGCAGCAUCCCAUACUGUGUGGUUUUGGCAAACUCUGGUUUCCUAAGGCCACUCUGGUCAUAGGCAGAUUUUGCCCUCAGCUCACUCAACACUCUGUCAGUGCCCUUGCCUUUGUCUCAUAAUUCUAGCACAUAAAAUGCAAUUAUAGAUAAAAUCCCUCUUGAGACUAGUUUUUCAUUGUCUCUUCAAAGUACAUUUUCUUCACGCAUUAAAUCAUAUCCCAGGACAUCCCACAACACUAGCAGCAGCCUAGAUUCUUUCUCGCUUUGUGUCUAAGGGGCUAAUUUAUAUUCUCACUCUAAACGCCUCUAAGUUCCAGUCAAUUCUCUGGAUAUAUUUGUGGUUCAGAUCACAUGUUUUUUUAAACAGGGUUCUUUAUAUGUUAAUAGGUAAUCAAUAGAAAUAAUUUAUUUAAAGUAAAAAUUUGAAUGAACUAGAUUAUUUGGAAACUAAAUUAUAGAUUAUUUUUGAAUCAUAAAGUUUCAACAUUUAAAAACCUAUUUUCCCCCUCUCUAAAUGUAUUAUUGCUGCCAUCAAUUCUGUGGCUUUUGGCUAUAAUGUUAUGUUGAUUUUCAUCUAAUCUCUGUAAUAACUAUUUUAUCUUUCUUGUUAUAAGCCAUCUGGCCUGUGGGUUUUUUGUUAUCACUCCAUAGUAUGAGCUUUACUCAGUAUACCCCGAUGAUAUUUUACUUUGUUUUUAGUGCAUUUGUUUUCCACUCAGGAAAAUAAUUAUUUUAACAGGAACAAGUGGGGGCAUCUGGAUGGCACAGUCAACUAAGUGUCCAACUCUUGGUUUCAGCUCAGGUCAUGAUCUCACGGUUUUGUGGGUUCCAGCUCCACAUCAGACUCUGUACUGGUGGUGUGGGGCCUGCUUGGGAUUCUCUCUCCCUACCCUUCUCCUGCUCAUGCUGUCUCUGUCUCUCUCAAAAUAAAUAAACUUAAAAAAUAAAAAUUAAAUAAAAAAUUUUUUAAAAAGGAACAAGUGGAUCAAGAAUUUUAAUCUUUAUCUUUUACAUUAAAAUUGUCUUUUAAUCUUCUGCAGGUAAAAGAAUUCUGUUAGAAAUUUCAAAAAAUCCAGUCAGCUUUACUUUCUAAAUGAUAUUACACUUUUAAAAGCUUUUUAAAAAACUUUCACCCUUUAUCUUCCAUCCUCCUUUUCUCCCUCCUUCCUUUCCUUACUUCCUUCUUUCUGCCAAUAAUGAUUCAUCAAACACAUGUUUUGUGCCAAUAUCACAGCAAAUGAUGGUAUAGCUAGGACUAACACAAGCACCUUCACUGAUCUUACAAACUAUUGUGAUCGUAGGGAUCUAAUUUUGGCAUGCCUUUAAUUAUUUCUUAUAAACCCAGAACAUUUUUUUUUUUUUUUUUUUUUUUUUUUUUUUGGGACAGAGAGAGACAGAGCAUGAACGGGGGAGGGGCAGAGAGAGAGGGAGACACAGAAUCGGAAACAGGCUCCAGGCUCUGAGCCAUCAGCCCAGAGCCUGACGCGGGGCUCGAAAUCACGGACCGCGAGAUCGUGACCUGGCUGAAGCCGGACGCUUAACCGACUGCGCCACCCAGGCGCCCCAAACCCAGAACAUUUUUAAAGUAAAGCUCACUGUAUGAUAACAGAUCAGAUCAUGUUGGAAUCCUAGUCCUUACAUGCACCUGAUAUUUAGGAUCUGUGUUACCUAGGGGGAAAACCACAUAUAUUGAUGGGCUUUUCCCUUCUGAUAAAGGUGGAUAUCUGAGCAAUGAUCAUGAGAGCAAAUCUGGGUAAAUAAGUUAAGAAUGCCCAAAGGUAUUAUACUUGCUGCAUCAAUACUUCCUAAAAAAGAAAUUCAUCUGGGCCCUAGAGGCCUAUGAGAUUCAGGUUCACCACCUACAGUGGUCAUACGGUGAGUGGAGUGCACAAAGCUCUCCUCUCUGCCUACAGAAGGAGGCAUAUUUUCUUUCACACAAAAAUGACAUCUGAUGACUCGGCCUUGCUCUUAAGAGCCUAUAUCUUCUAAGAGGGGGACUCCUUUUCCUUAUUGGUGACCAUGAUUAUACCACUGAUAGUUUAUCUUCCUUCUUCCAAGCUGCAAAUCAUUUUUAAAUGGCAUCUUCUGGCUUUCGUUACAACAGUGGAAAUGGAAUGACUAUAUGCUUCCCAUCUCUCUGAAAAGCUGGGAAGCCCAAAAUAUUGUGGAUUGUUUUGGCAGCGCAAGCAGCCAGCUGUUGACUGGAGUUCCACAGAACCAGCCAGGGAUGUCAGUGGCUGACUCUGGCAUCUGUGUUAUGAAUGAUAUCUUGGGAUAAAAUCCCACCCCCUGUAGUUUCUUGGCAGCUUAAGAAUCUCAGACUGAGAUGAAAACAUGGCUUUCAAUGCCUCAGUGAGUUGCUGGAAUAUUUCGGAACUGCUUGAGCCAGUAUGAGAUUUGUGCACAUCUCUGAUUUUCAAUCCAGCUUUGAACUGAUAUUCAACACCCGAGAAGUAGAAUCUUAAAAUGAAAAACAUCUUUAAUUGGUUCAAAGGUCCCAAGUUCCAUUACCUCUGAAGAAAGAAUCUUAUAGAGGUUUUUCUGAUCUUUCAUCUGCCCACAAUUGCCUUUCCUAAUCAAAAGUAGCAAGGUAAGAAUCUUUCUCUUUUACUAUAUGAAAUAUAGUACUAAUCUUCGAAGGCAAACAGAAGGAAAUUAUCCUUUUAACUAGCAAUAGCUGUUUCAAUUUCAAAAAUUAUACAAAAAUAUGUGUCCUUAGUCUGUUUACAGCAUUUUAAUCAUUUCCCGUAGCAGCUUGGAUAUUUUAUUACAGGGUUGUUUUUGCUUUUUUAAGUGGAGACGUAGACUCAGAUGCUCAGUUUAGAAGAUGAGGAAAACAGUGACUGCUAUUAGGAUGGGUCUGGAAAUGGGGCGGGAGAUGAAUAGGUGAAUUAAGCCACCAUAUGCCCAGUGAAUUAAGUAAAGUCCUAGAACAUUAGAAAAUACUUAUCUGAUUUAAAUAGGAAAUGCUUUGUCUAAAAAUACAAAGAAAUGAAAAUAGAAAUUAAAUCAUACAUUGCUGACUUGUUACAGACAGCCAAAAUGUUUUAUAACUUUGGCAUAAAAACAUCAUACCAAGAAAAGCAAUGAAUUUUAUAAUUACUUUUGGAAAUUCCUUCUAACAUCAAAGCCUUAUGAGAAAACCUCACAUGGCCAUUUUAUNUAUAUAUAUAACAUAUACAUUUAUGUGUACAUACAUAUAUUUAUGUAAUAUAUGUUUGAUUACUAGUUAAAUACAAUAUACUUCAUUGCUAACAUACCAACUCCUCAGAAGAAAUAGACACUAUGUUUGGAAAAACCAUGGUAAAAGGUAGAAUACCUUCUGCAAUAUUCUGCAUUUGUAGUUAAAACUAUAAAUCUGAAGAAAAAUAUAGUUAAAAGGAUGAUUUUAUUUAUUAUUUAUUUACUUAUUUAUUUUUGGUUUGGGAAACUCUGUCGGUCUUCUCUCAAAUGACAAUCUUAUGGGGAAAACAACAUUUAAAGAUUUAAAAAUAUUUGUUAUAUAAUUCUGUGAGAUUAUGUGCAAAUAAUUACAUAGCCAUAUGGUGAUGGCUUAAGAAAUUACAUUUUGUGUAUAAAGCCUGAGAUUCAAUUUUUUCUUGGUUUGAUUUCAAUUAUUACAUUAUAUAAAUUUUUAAAUAAUUUAUUGAGCCCUUACUAUACUAGGCAUUGUGCUAAGGAAUUUAUAAUAUUGCCUUACUUCAUCCUCACAACAAUCCUGUCAGAUACUAUGAUUAUCCUUACUUGACAGAUGGUAAAAUAAUCUUUAAAAAAUUAUGUAACAAGCCCAAAGCCAUUCAGCUAAUUGUUUCACACCUUAUUAACUCUUAACACCACUCUAUUAAAAAUGAUCAUUCACAUCUUCCUCAUAAUUUCCACUCAUUCUCAAACUUUUCUGUUAAAAAGUGAACAAAUAUCACUGAGGUUUUUGCAUAAGAGACAGCCACGUCCACUUCAAGGCCUACUUUUUUUUUUUUUUUUUAAUGUUUAUUCAUUCUUGAGAGAGACAGAGCACGAGCAGCAGAGGGACAGAGAGAGAAGGAGACACAGAAUUUGAAGCAGGCUCCAGGCUCUGAGCUGUCAGCACAGAGUCUGACACGGGGCUCAAACCCAUCAACCGUGAGAUCGUGACUGAAGCCGAAGUCAGAUGCUUAACCAACUGAGCCACCCAGGUGCCUCCUUCAGGGCUUACUCUUAUGACUGAUGACCAUUCUGUAGAAGAGCAUUACAAUAAGUUAUCAUGCUUUUUCCAUUUAUUUAGGAAUAAGAUGUAUAGGACUUACAUACAUCUGCUCCAUAGAUGGAGAAUGACUGCAAACAUCCUAGUACACAUUUGUCUAAUGAUCCAUACUGUUAAGUGGGCAGUCAGGGCUGCAUGGCCACAGUGGCCAGAUGAGGAAAGGAGGAUGGACACAGAGGGCCCCAUCCUGAGAUCACGUCCUUUCAAUUGGUCUAUCUAGUCAACUCAAAUCAACUCUCCUAUAUCAUCCUCUAACCAAACUCAAUCUGGUGCAAUACAAAUUCCCUCUGACCAGCCAUUCUUUACUUAGAAUAGAACUGAUAGAGGAAAAAUUCAUAACCCCAGCAAACAGUGGCUUAAGUGGAAGCCUUAUAAGGGUAAAAUAAUCAAAAAUACUAACCUAAAAAUAUCAAAUAAUAAAGUUUAAAGUUUUACUUUUAUAUGACACUUAAAUAAUUUAUAUAUAUAUGUCUAUAUACAUAUAUAUGUCUAUAUGUUAUAUGCAUAUAUAUGUUAUGUAUAUAUUAUAGACAUAUAUAUAUGUUAUAUGAGACUUACAACAUGGCAUUAAUAUUGAAUAUAAUUUUAGAACUAGUGUCAAAACAGCCUUAAUUACUCAAGAUGGAUGCUCAAAAACUUAUUAGCCAUUCUUGAAUGUAAAUAAUGUUCAUAUCUAGAGGUGAGCUAGAGGUGUUUACAGUUUAGAAUAAAGUCCAAACCUUUGGGGGCAGGUAUGAAACUAUCCUUUUCUUUAUCAAUUUUAUGUAUAUUCAAUGUUUACAUGAAUCAGUUUUUAUAUAAUAUUUUCUCUCCCAGAUUAAAGAUUAUGUCAUAUUUGAUAGUUUUCAUUAAUCUGCCUCAAAUUUCAUUAGGACUGCAGCAUUCUAAUAAAGAUGCAUAUCCCAUUGCCUCUGCUGACAAUUUAAGAAAAUGUCAUUUCAUUUUUGCACAUAAAAUAGGGAAAAGUUACUUUCAGAGUCACACAAUACCUUGACCUAGAUAUUAAACCUUCUCAAGUACAUAGGAUAAAAAACAAAGUCAAAAUUUGUCUCUAGGUUUAUUUACAUUAGCUGAUAAGAUUUCAGUAGAACAGGAAAGUCUCGACAAUUUUCAAAACAUACUCCAAAAACCAAACAAAAACAAAAACAAAAAACUUAUCCUAUUCUUUUAAUACAAAACAGAAUUCCAAAGAAAUGUAUACUAUUUAAUCAAAUAAUUAGGUUUGUGUGUUUUUAAAGUGGUUCACCCAGUUUUCCAAUUGGAUUGUUACUGCCAUCCUCACCACAAGUGAAUUUAAACACACUGGAGUGGAAUAUUUAAAAUUAGAGUUAAAUUAUUAGCAAAAAAGUUAAUAGAUGAUUCCGUUGUUUUUCAAAUAAUGGAAGAGUGACUUUCCUUAUAUUCACUAUUAAAAAGGAGAAAAUUCUGAAAAACUGCCCCUCAAAAUGAAAUACUUUAUGUGCUGAGCUCUAAUCACCCAUUUCUCCAGUCUGUCAGUUUUAAAAUAUUGCAGAGCUGACUUCCCAGCUGCCGGCUGGCAGUCCAAUUUAAAGAAGUAGCCGCCUAGAGAACUGUACAAUAGAGCUUAGUUAUCACCAUUCUGCAUAGCAUGAAGUCGGCCGCCACCUCAUGAGCAAACGCAAAGGACACAAUGCAGUGAAAGGGUUAAUUAGGAACCCACACAGAACUCCUUUGGCAUUGUGGUACUAACGUCCCUUUUAACCCUAUUUGUUGUAAUUUUUGUAAUAUGCUGUUUGUGCUUUCAGGUUGCAUCAUAAAUUCAUCUGAGGAUUUUCUGAAUAUAUUCAUAUCCUUAAAUUAGAUGAAUGAUUGGAAAUUUAUUCCCUAAGAAUGGGCUUGAUAGAACAUUUUACUUGCUGGCCUUUCAUCAAAAACACCAUUGAAUUUUCAAAGCAAUUGUUUGAAGCAAUCAGUUAAAUAUCUGGGUUUUAUAUAGCUUCUCACUUUUUGGUUGCUCAAGGGAAGUCUGGCUAUAGUAUCCUACUGCUUUGAAAUGAACAGAAGCAAGGAAAUAUAAAGGUAAUUUAACUUUAAAUAAACUUGUUCAGCAAUGCUCAGCAGACAUAAAUGAAUACAUUUUUUAGAAGCUGUGAAUACUUUAUCACGGCUAUUGUUCUUUUUAAUGUAUUUCAGAGGUAUUGCAGGUACUAUAACUCCAAAUGAUUUCCACUUAAAGUUCUCACCAGAUAUAGUUUGCACUUAAACUGAAAGCUUAAGAAAAGGUCAAGAGGAAUACAAUGAUAACUACACUAAAACACAGAAUAGUAAAGGCCCUUGAUGUGAUGUGAAGUUUAAAAGUAUGCAAACCAUGCAUGCAUGCUAAAAUCAUGUAGGAGAAAACUAGUUGACCAGAAAAGUUUGAGUAUUCAGGGCUAAUUAUCAGAUUUACCUGAUAACCAUGUUUCUUUUAAAAUUUCUGUUCCUGGGAGCCUGGGUGGCUCUGUCAGUUAAAUGUUGGAUUCUUGGUUUCAGCUCAGGUCAUGAUAUAACAGUUCAUGAGUUUGAGCCCCAAAUCAGCCGCCACGCUAACAGCAUGGAGCCUGCUUGGGAUUCUCUCUCUGUCCCUCUGUCUCUGCCCCUCCCCUGUUCAUGCUCUCUCUCCUCUCUCUCUCUCAAAAUAAAAAAAUAAACAUAUAUAUAACAUAUAUAUUAUAUACAUUUAUAUAUAUAAAUGUAUGUAAUAUUUAUAUAUAUAAAUUUCUCUUCUUUCUGGAUGCCCAGCUCUCAGAUCUUUAAUUCCACAUCAGCUUGUCCAACAAAGGUAAAAGAGGAGACCUCUCAAUAUUGCUGCAGCUUUAUCUGAUAGCAUUUAUCAGAUAUUUACUUUCUAAAUAUGCUAAGGAUCAAAAUUAGACUUUUGAGGCAUCUUAGGAUUCUAGUCAAAAUUAGGAAGCACCAUUUGUUCACUGAGGAACAGUAUACAAUGGUGGUUAUUAGGGAUGGAGUACUUAUUUGUUUUGAAUCUUAAUGCUACCGCUUAAUCAUUAUAUGACUUUUAGUAAGACACUUAACUCUACUGUCUAUGCUUCAGGUUAUCAUCAUAAAAAUGGGGCAAUAAUAAAACCUCCCACUUAAGCUGUAUAAGAGGAUUAAAUAAGGAUUCCAUAUAGGUAGUACUCUAUACUCAAUUAUGUCAUGGCAGAGAGAAAAGCCCUUAAAAACCAUUACUUUUAAUUAUAAAACCUUGUUUGGUGCUUACCAUAUAAGAGUGCUGUGCUAGAAGCUGGGGAUACAGUCAUAUGUGAUACAGACCACACUCAAUGAACAGAAACAAAUAAUUAAAAUCAAAUUGAGUUGUGACAAAUCUAAGCUGAGUUUUAUAAAGGUCUUUUAUAUUAUCAAAUGGUGAAAGGAAAGAAUUCCAGGAGAAGAUGCCAUCUGGGCUCAUUUAAUGUUUAUUUAUUUAUUUUGAGAGAGAGAGAGCGCCAGCGAACAUGAGCAGGAGAGGGAAAGAGAGACAAAGAGACAGAGAGAAUCUCAAACAGGUUCUGCGCUGUCAGCGCAAAGCCCCACAUGGAGCUUGAAGCUGCCAACCAUGAGAUCAUGACCUGAGCUGAAGUCCGACUCUUAACCUAAGUCACCCAAGUGUCCCUAGACUUAUUUCAAAACAUAAGUAAUUUCUGAAAAGUUUUAAAUUAUUUUUAAUUAAUUGGAUCUUUUACUCCUACUGGAAGAUCUGAUCCUAUUUUCCAACCUUUUCUGUCCUCUAAUUUUUCACUCAUCUAAAAUGGCUGAAAGGAUAUAAGACAGAUACAAAGACAAUAAUAAAGAGAAUAGUCACAACAUUGGUCUAGGAUAAUAGCUUGCAUUCCCCCUUGAUAUACCCUCCAUGAUGUCUUAGUGAUGGGCUUUCCUAGGCUUAAAAUAGUUAAAUACAGUAAGUGAUAGAAUUCUAUAAAAGGUGACCUAAUAUAAUUUUUUAACAAAGCUAAAGGGAAAAACUUCCUUUGGAAAAGACAUGCAAUUUCUAUUGUAUGCCAAAAACUUUGAAAGACACAGAAGGCUUCGAAGUAAAGACCCAGGAAAAAUAACUGUCAAGUACAGGAGAAAAGCAUGAAAUCAUAGACUGCCUAAUUCCAAGGGUUCCAAGAAGUAGAACUUUUUUUUUUUUUUUUUUUUUAGGACUCCCUCUAUUUUAUUCAAAUAUACCAGAUAAACCCAGGACUUGUGACUCAGUGCACCUAAAUGUUAAGCUUGAAUAAUUAAAGUUUUUGUUUUUUUUUAAACACUCCAUUUGACCUGAUAGGAGUGAUAUUCAAUUAGUGUAAUGCCUAUAUAUAUAUAUAUAUAUAUAUAUAUAUAAUUUAUUUAUGUUUAUAUUUCUUUAUUUUUAACUCUUUCACUACAUUUAAAGUGCUUAAAGUCCCUAAGCCAAAAAACUGCCAAUCACAAUAACUAAGCAAGUCUUAAUUGCCAUAGUUUGUGCUAAGAUUAAGCAUGGGAAAAUGAAGUACAUCAGGAAAGGACAGAUGAGGACAAAUGAAAAUUAUAUAAAACUUGCCCACCAUGCUAGAGUAAUACUCUCCCUUGAAAAUUUCUUAAGGUUAAUGCUUAGUCAGAGAUUAAUUUAACCAUGUUGUAAAAGAGAGGAGGACAUAGUAUAGAUGGUAACUAUGCCUUGCUAGUUCUGGUUCAGCACAAAACUCCGGCUUUGAACAGUCGCAAAGUUUGACCUGUUGUGUUACAUUUACACGAUCUCUUUUGGAUGGAGAUUUGCCACAGCUUAGUCAAUACCUGAAAAUGGUAACACUACGGUUUCUAAGGCUAAAUCUAUUUUCUCAAUAGAACAUCCAUAAAGCCUGGUAUGACAUUCAUUUUCAUCUUACAAACAGCUCUUCCGAAAUAUAUUUAAAUAGCAUUCUGCUUCAAGACAGUGACUGAGAAACUUCUGGGAUUCUGUGAAUUAUUAUUCCUUACUACGUACAUAAAGUGGUGAGGGAAGGCGAGAUAAAUAUCAAAAGGAAUGUCAUAAGACUUCAAAAUCCAUACGGGAAAGGGGUUAGAGAAACAGAUUAUAUAUAUAUAUAUAUCACAAAAGACCUAAAAGAAAGAGCUUUGAGAAAAGCUUUUUAGGCAU
RNAcentral lists this long non-coding RNA (20861 nucleotides) under Lynx pardinus (Iberian lynx). The record is from RNAcentral. Lineage: Eukaryota; Metazoa; Chordata; Mammalia; Carnivora; Felidae.